This 500-nucleotide ribosomal RNA is filed under the name uncultured bacterium. RNAcentral describes it as "bacterial SSU rRNA". It matches the Rfam family "Bacterial small subunit ribosomal RNA", at positions 28 to 520 of the family's 1533-position model. The record is from RNAcentral.
GAUGAACGCUAGCGGCAGGCUUAAUACAUGCAAGUCGUGGGGCAGCGCAGGUAGCAAUACUGGGCGGCGACCGGCAAACGGGUGCGGAACACGUACACAACCUUCCGAGAAGUGGGGAAUAGCCCAGAGAAAUUUGGAUUAAUACCCCGUAACAUAACGAUGUGGCAUCACAUUGUUAUUAUAGCUUCGGCGCUUCUUGAUGGGUGUGCGGCUGAUUAGAUAGUUGGCGGGGUAACGGCCCACCAAGUCUACGAUCAGUAGCUGAUGUGAGAGCAUGAUCAGCCACACGGGCACUGAGACACGGGCCCGACUCCUACGGGAGGCAGCAGUAAGGAAUAUUGGUCAAUGGACGCAAGUCUGAACCAGCCAUGCCGCGUGAAGGAUUAAGGUCCUCUGGAUUGUAAACUUCUUUUAUACAAGAGAAAACCCUGGUACGUGUACCAGGUUGAUAGUAUUGUAAGAAUAAGCAAUCGGCUAAACUUCGUGCCAGCAGCCGACGG